AGCGAACGGGGAGGAGCCCAGAGCCUGAAUCAGUGUGUGUGUUAGUGGAAGCGUCUGGAAAGGCGCGCGAUACAGGGUGACAGCCCCGUACACAAAAAUGCACAUGCUGUGAGCUCGAUGAGUAGGGCGGGACACGUGGUAUCCUGUCUGAAUAUGGGGGGACCAUCCUCCAAGGCUAAAUACUCCUGACUGACCGAUAGUGAACCAGUACCGUGAGGGAAAGGCGAAAAGAACCCCGGCGAGGGGAGUGAAAAAGAACCUGAAACCGUGUACGUACAAGCAGUGGGAGCACAGAGCAAUCUGUGUGACUGCGUACCUUUUGUAUAAUGGGUCAGCGACUUAUAUUCUGUAGCAAGGUUAACCGAAUAGGGGAGCCGAAGGGAAACCGAGUCUUAACUGGGCGUUAAGUUGCAGGGUAUAGACCCGAAACCCGGUGAUCUAGCCAUGGGCAGGUUGAAGGUUGGGUAACACUAACUGGAGGACCGAACCGACUAAUGUUGAAAAAUUAGCGGAUGACUUGUGGCUGGGGGUGAAAGGCCAAUCAAACCGGGAGAUAGCUGGUUCUCCCCGAAAGCUAUUUAGGUAGCGCCUCGUGAAUUCAUCUCCGGGGGUAGAGCACUGUUUCGGCAAGGGGGUCAUCCCGACUUACCAACCCGAUGCAAACUGCGAAUACCGGAGAAUGUUAUCACGGGAGACACACGGCGGGUGCUAACGUCCGUCGUGAAGAGGGAAACAACCCAGACCGCCAGCUAAGGUCCCAAAGUCAUGGUUAAGUGGGAAACGAUGUGGGAAGGCCCAGACAGCCAGGAUGUUGGCUUAGAAGCAGCCAUCAUUUAAAGAAAGCGUAAUAGCUCACUGGUCGAGUCGGCCUGCGCGGAAGAUGUAACGGGGCUAAACCAUGCACCGAAGCUGCGGCAGCGACACUGUGUGUUGUUGGGUAGGGGAGCGU
This 949-nucleotide ribosomal RNA is filed under the name Escherichia coli. RNAcentral's name for it is "partial 23S ribosomal RNA". It matches the Rfam family "Bacterial large subunit ribosomal RNA", at positions 252 to 1239 of the family's 2925-position model. The record is from RNAcentral. Lineage: Bacteria; Pseudomonadati; Pseudomonadota; Gammaproteobacteria; Enterobacterales; Enterobacteriaceae.